RNAcentral lists this unclassified non-coding RNA (374 nucleotides) under soil metagenome. Its description in RNAcentral is "partial contains 5.8S ribosomal RNA, internal transcribed spacer 2, and large subunit ribosomal RNA". The stretch from base 1 to 121 matches the Rfam family "5.8S ribosomal RNA", at positions 35 to 154 of the family's 154-position model. The record is from RNAcentral.
GAUGAAGAACGUAGCGAAAUGCGAUAAGUAAUGCGAAUUGCAGAAUUUCCGUGAGUCAUCGAAUCUUUGAACGCACAUUGCGCCCACUGGUAUUCCGGUGGGCAUGCCUGUUCGAGCGUCAUUAUCCUCCCUCAAACCCCGGGUUUGGUGUUGGACGGUUUUGGUGGGGACGUGCAGCCUCUCACCCCUCCUAAAGACAAUGACGGCGGCGUCGUUGGGACCCCCGGUACACUGAGCUUCUUAACUGAGCACGUACUGGACGCGGGUACGCGACGCACGGUCUGCCUCCCCUUUAAGGGAGAACUUUUUCUUAAGGUUGACCUCGGAUCAGGUAGGAAUACCCGCUGAACUUAAGCAUAUCAAUAAGCGGAGGA